CUCGUAGGCGGUUCGGCAAGUCGGAUGUGAAAUCUCCACGCUUAACGUGGAGGGGCCAUUCGAAACUGCCGUGACUCGAGUCCGGUAGGGGAGUGUGGAAUUCCUGGUGUAGCGGUGAAAUGCGCAGAUAUCAGGAGGAACACCAGUAGCGAAGGCGGCACUCUGGGCGGUACUGACGCUGAGGAGCGAAAGCGUGGGAGCGAACA
This 206-nucleotide ribosomal RNA is filed under the name uncultured bacterium. RNAcentral describes it as "partial 16S ribosomal RNA". It matches the Rfam family "Bacterial small subunit ribosomal RNA", at positions 568 to 774 of the family's 1533-position model. The record is from RNAcentral.